GAUGAACGCUAGCGGCAGGCUUAAUACAUGCAAGUCGAGGGGCAGCACGGUUAGCAAUAACUGGUGGCGACCGGCGCACGGGUGCGUAACACGUAUACAAUCUACCUUAAACAGGGGAUAGCCUUUCGAAAGAGAGAUUAAUACCCCGUAAUAAAUUGAACGGCAUCGUUUGAUUUUGAAAGCUCCGGCGGUUUGAGAUGAGUAUGCGUCUGAUUAGCUAGUUGGUGAGGUAACGGCUCACCAAGGCGACGAUCAGUAGGGGAUCUGAGAGGACUAACCCCCACACUGGUACUGAGACACGGACCAGACUCCUACGGGAGGCAGCAGUAAGGAAUAUUGGUCAAUGGAGGCAACUCUGAACCAGCCAUGCCCGCGUGCAGGAUGACGGCCCUAUGGGUUGUAAACUGCUUUUAUACAAGAGAAAACCCUGGUACGUGUACCAGGUUGAUAGUAUUGUAAGAAUAAGCAUCGGCUAACUUCGUGCCAGCAGCCGCGGUAA
This 499-nucleotide ribosomal RNA is filed under the name uncultured bacterium. Its description in RNAcentral is "bacterial SSU rRNA". It matches the Rfam family "Bacterial small subunit ribosomal RNA", at positions 28 to 523 of the family's 1533-position model. The record is from RNAcentral.